ACUCAAAGGAAUUGACGGGGGCCCGCACAAGCGGUGGAUGAUGUGGUUCAAUUCGAUGCAACGCGAAAAACCUUACCUACCCUUGACAUGUCCGGAAGGCCGCAGAAAUGUGGCUGUGCCCGAAAGGGAGCCGGAACACAGGUGCUGCAUGGCUGUCGUCAGCUCGUGUCGUGAGAUGUUGGGUUAAGUCCCGCAACGAGCGCAACCCUUGUCAUUAGUUGCGACAUUUAGUUGAGCACUCUAAUGAGACUGCCGGUGACAAACCGGAGGAAGGUGGGGACGACGUCAAGUCCUCAUGGCCCUUAUGGGUAGGGCUACACACGUCAUACAAUGGCGCAUACAGAGGGGAGCCAACCCGCGAGGGGGAGCAAAUCUCAGAAAGUGCGUCGUAGUCCGGAUUGAAGUCUGCAACUCGACUUCAUGAAGUCGGAAUCGCUAGUAAUCGCGGAUCAGCAUGUCGCGGUGAAUACGUUCCCGGGCCUUGUACACACCGCCCGU
RNAcentral lists this ribosomal RNA (498 nucleotides) under uncultured bacterium. Its description in RNAcentral is "partial 16S ribosomal RNA". It matches the Rfam family "Bacterial small subunit ribosomal RNA", at positions 899 to 1397 of the family's 1533-position model. The record is from RNAcentral.